AGUGCAGUGCGGAGUUGGGGUCGCCUCCGUGGGGCGCAGACCCCCGGUUUGGGGGGGCUGAGGGCCGCGUGGGAGAGCCUCAAAUUCGAGGUGGCCCUCAGGUUGGAGGCUCUCAGUACGAAGCUGUUGGCGGCGGCGCUGCGGCUGUUGGCGCGGUGGGGGCGGCUGCCCCAUAGCGAACGCUUGGAGGCCUAUCUGCGGGCGUAGCCCCAUAGCGCCCCAUAGACCCUGCCCCAUAGCGCCCCAUAGCACCCCAUAGAACCCCAUAGUGCCUCAUAGAGCCCCAUAG
This 289-nucleotide long non-coding RNA is filed under the name Gallus gallus (chicken). Lineage: Eukaryota; Metazoa; Chordata; Aves; Galliformes; Phasianidae. The record is from RNAcentral.